Molecule: small nuclear RNA, 266 nt
Filed under: Meriones unguiculatus (Mongolian gerbil)
Lineage: Eukaryota; Metazoa; Chordata; Mammalia; Rodentia; Muridae
Description: 7SK RNA (ENSMUGG00000006538.1)
Rfam family: 7SK RNA
About the family: 7SK was discovered as an abundant small nuclear RNA in the mid-70s but a possible function has only recently been suggested.
Source: RNAcentral
GAAUGAUCUGGCUGUGACAUCUGUCACUUAAUUGACCACCAUCGUUGAUUCAGAAGAUCUAGGUGAUUAGGCCGGUAUCCCCAUUGAUGUUCAGGCUUCCUGAAGCUGUAAGCUCCCUCAAAGGGGACAACAUUCAAUGAGUAUAGUGUGACGAAUCUUCAGUCAAGGUUGUAUGAGUUGCUGCUUUCCCCUGCUAAAAAUCUCCAAACAAGCUCUCAGGAAACAGUCUAAAUUAAUAGCUCUUACAAAGCAGGAACACUGUAUUU